This 460-nucleotide ribosomal RNA is filed under the name uncultured bacterium. RNAcentral describes it as "partial 16S ribosomal RNA". It matches the Rfam family "Bacterial small subunit ribosomal RNA", at positions 338 to 795 of the family's 1533-position model. The record is from RNAcentral.
CCUACGGGUGGCAGCAGUGGGGAAUAUUGGUCAAUGGGCUUACGCCUGAACCAGCCAAGUCGCGUGAGGGAAGACUGCCCUAUGGGUUGUAAACCUCUUUUGUCAGGGAGCAAUUGGCGCUACGUGUAGCGUUCUCGAGAGUACCUGAAGGACAAGCAUCGGCUAACUCCGUGCCAGCAGACGCGGUAAUACGGAGGAUGCGAGCGUUAUCCGGAUGUAUUGGGUUUAAAGGGUGCGUAGGCGGAAUGCCAAGUCAGCGGUAAAAUGGCGGGGCUCAACCUCACCCCGCCGUUGAAACUGGCGUUGUGGAGUGCGCGAGAGGUAUGCGGAAUGCGUGGUGUAGCGGUGAAAUGCAUAGAUAUCACGCAGAACUCCGGUUGCGAAGGCAGCAUACCGGAGCGCAACUGACGCUGAAGCACGAAAGCGUGGGUAUCGAACAGGAUUAGAUACCCCAGUAGUC